This 231-nucleotide long non-coding RNA is filed under the name Mustela putorius furo (domestic ferret). RNAcentral describes it as "lncRNA (ENSMPUG00000024867.1)". Lineage: Eukaryota; Metazoa; Chordata; Mammalia; Carnivora; Mustelidae. The record is from RNAcentral.
AUUAACACCUACUAUCAAGUUUCCCUUCCUAACAUUUGAAUGGUAGCAAUGGAUGGCAUCGGACCCCAGCCCCGUGACUAAACAAAAGGCAAGAUGGCCAUCACACGUGAGCCUGUUAUGUCCCAGGGAGGACCAGCGGCGUCAGUUUCUGGGCUUCUUAAAAGAUUUGCACAAUACAUCACUCAUAUUGUUAUUUUUAUCUCUGUAAAUUUGUGAUGGCCUCUCCAAAAA